UAGAGAGAGACAUGCGCGCAUAUCAAUAAGCGGAGGAAAAGAAACUAACAAGGAUUCCCUUAGUAACGGCGAGUGAAGCGGGAAGAGCUCAAAUUUGAAAUCUUCAAGGUCUUACCUUGACGAAUUGUAGUUUAAAGAAGUGUUUUCUGCUGAAGUUUUGGUAAAAGUUCUUUGGAAUAGGACAUCAUAGAGGGUGAGAAUCCCGUAUUUGACCAUUAUUUUCAGCUUUGUGAUACACUUUCAAAGAGUCGGAUUGUUUGGGAAUGCAGUCCAAAAUGGGUGGUAAAUUUCAUCUAAAGCUAAAUAUUGGCGAGAGACCGAUAGCGAACAAGUACCGUGAGGGAAAGAUGAAAAGAACUUUGAAAAGAGAGUUAAACAGUACGUGAAAUUGUCAAAAGGGAAGCGUUUGACACCAGUGUUGUUUUCUCGAAAAUCAAUUAAAAAUGGCUCGAUUUUGUAUUGCUUGAGACCUUAAAAGCUCACUGUACAUUUUUCGUGUCUUUUUUAAUGCACUUUUCGUUUAACAAGUCAACAUCAGUUUCUUUUGUUGUAAAAGGGUCAUUGGAAGGUGGCUUUCUUUUCGGAGAAAGUGUUUAUAGCCUUUGGCCUCUGCAAUCGGAAGAGACUGAGGUCUGCAGCGUAGACUCUUCGGGGUUAGAUACAUUUGUGCUAAGUUAUAGCUUUUUAUAGACAACUUGUUGACUAUAAUUAGUCUUGUAGCUUACUCGCUUAUGCUAUUUUACCUACGCUUAGGAUGUUGAGUCGUAGAGCACGCAG
This 777-nucleotide ribosomal RNA is filed under the name uncultured Neocallimastigales. Its description in RNAcentral is "partial large subunit ribosomal RNA". It matches the Rfam family "Eukaryotic large subunit ribosomal RNA", at positions 23 to 626 of the family's 3401-position model. The record is from RNAcentral. Lineage: Eukaryota; Fungi; Neocallimastigomycota; Neocallimastigomycetes; Neocallimastigales.